GAGGUAUCAGAAGUGCGAAUGCUGACAUAAGUAACGAUAAAGCGGGUGAAAAGCCCGCUCGCCGGAAGACCAAGGGUUCCUGUCCAACGUUAAUCGGGGCAGGGUGAGUCGACCCCUAAGGCGAGGCCGAAAGGCGUAGUCGAUGGGAAACGGGUUAAUAUUCCCGUACUUGGUGUUACUGCGAAGGGGGGACGGAGAAGGCUAUGUUGGCCGGGCGACGGUUGUCCCGGUUUAAGCGUGUAGGUGUGUGUUCCAGGUAAAUCCGGUUCACUUUAACACUGAGGCGUGAUGACGAGGCACUACGGUGCUGAAGCAACAAAUGCCCUGCUUCCAGGAAAAGCCUCUAAGCAUCAGGUAACAUCAAAUCGUACCCCAAACCGACACAGGUGGUCAGGUAGAGAAUACCAAGGCGCUUGAGAGAACUCGGGUGAAGGAACUAGGCAAAAUGGUGCCGUAACUUCGGGAGAAGGCACGCUGACACGUAGGUGAAGUGAUUUACUCAUGGAGCUGAAGUCAGUCGAAGAUACCAGCUGGCUGCAACUGUUUAUUAAAAACACAGCACUGUGCAAACACGAAAGUGGACGUAUACGGUGUGACGCCUGCCCGGUGCCGGAAGGUUAAUUGAUGGGGUCAGCGCAAGCGAAGCUCCUGAUCGAAGCCCCGGUAAACGGCGGCCGUAACUAUAACGGUCCUAAGGUAGCGAAAUUCCUUGUCGGGUAAGUUCCGACCUGCACGAAUGGCGUAAUGAUGGCCAGGCUGUCUCCACCCGAGACUCAGUGAAAUUGAACUCGCUGUGAAGAUGCAGUGUACCCGCGGCAAGACGGAAAGACCCCGUGAACCUUUACUAUAGCUUGACACUGAACAUUGAGCCUUGAUGUGUAGGAUAGGUGGGAGGCUUUGAAGUGUGGACGCCAGUCUGCAUGGAGCCGACCUUGAAAUACCACCCUUUAAUGUUUGAUGUUCUAACGUGGACCCGUGAUCCGGGUUGCGGACAGUGUCUGGUGGGUAGUUUGACUGGGGCGGUCUCCUCCUAAAGAGUAACGGAGGAGCACGAAGGUUGGCUAAUCCUGGUCGGACAUCAGGAGGUUAGUGCAAUGGCAUAAGCCAGCUUGACUGCGAGCGUGACGGCGCGAGCAGGUGCGAAAGCAGGUCAUAGUGAUCCGGUGGUUCUGAAUGGAAGGGCCAUCGCUCAACGGAUAAAAGGUACUCCGGGGAUAACAGGCUGAUACCGCCCAAGAGUUCAUAUCGACGGCGGUGUUUGGCACCUCGAUGUCGGCUCAUCACAUCCUGGGGCUGAAGUAGGUCCCAAGGGUAUGGCUGUUCGCCAUUUAAAGUGGUACGCGAGCUGGGUUUAGAACGUCGUGAGACAGUUCGGUCCCUAUCUGCCGUGGGCGCUGGAGAACUGAGGGGGGCUGCUCCUAGUACGAGAGGACCGGAGUGGACGCAUCACUGGUGUUCGGGUUGUCAUGCCAAUGGCACUGCCCGGUAGCUAAAUGCGGAAGAGAUAAGUGCUGAAAGCAUCUAAGCACGAAACUUGCCCCGA
RNAcentral lists this ribosomal RNA (1543 nucleotides) under Salmonella enterica subsp. enterica serovar Paratyphi B var. L(+) tartrate +. Its description in RNAcentral is "partial 23S ribosomal RNA". It matches the Rfam family "Bacterial large subunit ribosomal RNA", at positions 1276 to 2802 of the family's 2925-position model. The record is from RNAcentral. Lineage: Bacteria; Pseudomonadati; Pseudomonadota; Gammaproteobacteria; Enterobacterales; Enterobacteriaceae.